UGAGCCUAAAAGACAAUCGCUUGUAAUUCAAGAGGAAAGUCCGGGCAACAUAGAGCAAGGUAGUCGCUAACGGCGACCGUCCGUAAGGAUAGGGAAAGUACCACAGAAACUAUACCGCCGGUUUACCGGUAAGGGUGAAAAGAGCGGGGUAAGAGCCCACAGUGCUUUGUAGCGAUACAUCGCGGAGGCAAACCCUACCUGUUGCAAGGAGUGCUACUAAGCCCCUGCUCGGGGACGCACGCUCACCGCUAGAGCGCCGCAGCAAUGCAGCGCCAAGAUAGAUGAUUGUCCACUAUAUAUUAUAUAUAGUGACAGAACCCGGCUUACUGAAGGCUCAAAAC
RNAcentral lists this RNase P RNA (341 nucleotides) under Candidatus Saccharimonadota bacterium. Its description in RNAcentral is "RNase P RNA component class A". It matches the Rfam family "Bacterial RNase P class A". From Rfam's summary of the family: Ribonuclease P (RNase P) is a ubiquitous endoribonuclease, found in archaea, bacteria and eukarya as well as chloroplasts and mitochondria. Its best characterised activity is the generation of mature 5'-ends of tRNAs by cleaving the 5'-leader elements of precursor-tRNAs. Lineage: Bacteria; Candidatus Saccharimonadota. The record is from RNAcentral.